AUAACCAAUCUCCCUCCGUCUCUCUUUGUUUGUUUUUC
Molecule: small RNA, 38 nt
Filed under: Arabidopsis thaliana (thale cress)
Lineage: Eukaryota; Viridiplantae; Streptophyta; Magnoliopsida; Brassicales; Brassicaceae
Description: ATSL074730
Source: RNAcentral